GACUUUUUUGGUCAUCAGAUGAACGAUUCACGUCCCAGUUUGGAAAAGGAGAGCUUGGAGUCAAAUUCAAGCCAUUUUCAAAGUAUCCUCCUUGUUACAAGGACAUCAGUUUCUGGAUAAGUGAGUCAUUCACGGAGAAUAACUUUUGCGAAGUUGUUAGAGGGGAUUGCUGGGGAUCUUGCUGAAGAGGUGAAGUUAAUUGACAAUUUCACAAAUAAGAAAGGGAUGACGAGUCAUUGUUACAGAAUCGUGUUCCGUUCCAUGGAGCGUUCUCUUACGGACGAAGAGGUCAAUGCAUUGCAUUGCAGAGUAAAGUGCGUGAUGAGGUGGAGAGGAAGCUAAAUGUCGAAUUGAGGUGAGAAUUUUGAAAAGUAGAGUUGAUUUGCAUUUCAGGUUUGACAUUGUUAUUCCUACACAAAAAUUUAUUUACUUCUGGCCGAAUUGCAUGACCCUCAAAUAAAAAUAUAUGUACAUUGGUUUUCGUUAUUAAUGGAAAGAAAAAUAAGGUGUUUCUAUG
Long non-coding RNA from Capsella rubella, 517 nucleotides. RefSeq lists it as uncharacterized. Lineage: Eukaryota; Viridiplantae; Streptophyta; Magnoliopsida; Brassicales; Brassicaceae. The record is from RefSeq and is a predicted model, not a curated record. The transcript is spliced from 5 exons.